AAGCUCUUCAGCGCCGAUGGUAGUUGGGGGCUUCCCCCUGUGAGAGUAGGACGCCGCCAAGC
Molecule: ribosomal RNA, 62 nt
Filed under: Bacillus licheniformis
Lineage: Bacteria; Bacillati; Bacillota; Bacilli; Caryophanales; Bacillaceae
Source: RNAcentral